This 292-nucleotide ribosomal RNA is filed under the name uncultured bacterium. Its description in RNAcentral is "partial 16S ribosomal RNA". It matches the Rfam family "Bacterial small subunit ribosomal RNA", at positions 505 to 796 of the family's 1533-position model. The record is from RNAcentral.
GUGUCAGCCGCCGCGGUAAGACGAACCGUCCAAACGUUAUUCGGAAUUACUGGGCUUAAAGGGUGCGUAGGCGGCGCGGAAAGUUGGGUGUGAAAUCCCUCGGCUCAACCGAGGAACUGCGCCCAAUACUACCGUGCUUGAGGGAGAUAGAGGUGAGCGGAACUUAGGGUGGAGCGGUGAAAUGCGUUGAUAUCCUAAGGAACACCGGUGGCGAAAGCGGCUCACUGGAUCUCUUCUGACGCUGAGGCACGAAAGCUAGGGUAGCGAACGGGAUUAGAAACCCCCGUAGUCC